This 440-nucleotide ribosomal RNA is filed under the name uncultured bacterium. Its description in RNAcentral is "partial 16S ribosomal RNA". It matches the Rfam family "Bacterial small subunit ribosomal RNA", at positions 338 to 795 of the family's 1533-position model. The record is from RNAcentral.
CCUACGGGCGACAGCAGUAGGGAAUAUUGCUCAAUGGGGGAAACCCUGAAGCAGCAACGCCGCGUGGAGGAUGAAGGUUUUAGGAUUGUAAACUCCUUUUGUUAGAGAAGAUAAUGACGGUAUCUAACGAAUAAGCACCGGCUAACUCCGUGCCAGCAGCAGCGGUAAUACGGAGGGUGCCAGCGUUACUCGGAAUCACUGGGCGUAAAGAGCGCGUAGGCGGGAUAGCAAGUCAGAUGUGAAAUCCUAUGGCUUAACCAUAGAACUGCAGUUGAAACUGUUAUUCUAGAGUAUGGGAGAGGUAGGUGGAAUUCUUGGUGUAGGGGUAAAAUCCGUAGAGAUCAAGAGGAAUACUCAUUGCGAAGGCGACCUGCUAGAACAUAACUGACGCUGAUGCGCGAAAGCGUGGGUAGCAAACAGGAUUAGAUACCCUUGUAGUC